GAUGAACGCUAGCGACAGGCUUAACACAUGCAAGUCGAGGGGCAGCAUAAAAGUAGCAAUACUUUGGUGGCGACCGGCGCACGGGUGAGUAACGCGUAUGCAACCUACCUAUCAGAGGGGAAUAACCCGGCGAAAGUCGGACUAAUACCGCAUAAAACAGGGGCACCGCAUGGUGAUAUUUGUUAAAGAGAUUCGCUGAUAGAUGGGCAUGCAUUCCAUUAGGUAGUUGGUGAGGUAACGGCUCACCAAGCCGACGAUGGAUAGGGGAACUGAGAGGUUGGUCCCCCACACUGGUACUGAGACACGGACCAGACUCCUACGGGAGGCAGCAGUGAGGAAUAUUGGUCAAUGGGCGAGAGCCUGAACCAGCCAAGUCGCGUGAAGGAAGAAGGAUCUAUGGUUCGUAAACUUCUUUUGCAGGGGAAUAAAGUGCAGGACGUGUCCUGUUUUGUAUGUACCCUGAGAAUAAGGAUCGGCUAACUCCGUGCCAGCAGCCG
RNAcentral lists this ribosomal RNA (497 nucleotides) under uncultured bacterium. RNAcentral describes it as "bacterial SSU rRNA". It matches the Rfam family "Bacterial small subunit ribosomal RNA", at positions 28 to 517 of the family's 1533-position model. The record is from RNAcentral.